Dermochelys coriacea (leatherback sea turtle) is the source of this 186-nucleotide long non-coding RNA. RefSeq lists it as uncharacterized. The record is from RefSeq and is a predicted model, not a curated record. The transcript has 3 exons. NCBI's taxonomy places the organism in Eukaryota, Metazoa, Chordata, Testudines, Dermochelyidae.
CUGGAGUUCAGGCGUAUGCUGUUGCUGUUCGUAAACAUCUUGAGAGAAACAAAGGAUAAAGAUGCCAAAUUUCGUCUGAUUCUGAAUGAGAGCAGAAUUCACAGGCUGGCUCGUUACUACAAGACCAAGAGAGUACUCCCACCCAACUGGAAGUACAAAUCAUCCACUGCCUCUGCUCUGGUCGCG